RNAcentral lists this ribosomal RNA (381 nucleotides) under Bacillus swezeyi. Its description in RNAcentral is "partial 23S ribosomal RNA". It matches the Rfam family "Bacterial large subunit ribosomal RNA", at positions 2547 to 2925 of the family's 2925-position model. The record is from RNAcentral. Lineage: Bacteria; Bacillati; Bacillota; Bacilli; Caryophanales; Bacillaceae.
CUGGGGCUGUAGUCGGUCCCAAGGGUUGGGCUGUUCGCCCAUUAAAGCGGUACGCGAGCUGGGUUCAGAACGUCGUGAGACAGUUCGGUCCCUAUCCGUCGCGGGCGCAGGAAAUUUGAGAGGAGCUGUCCUUAGUACGAGAGGACCGGGAUGGACGCACCGCUGGUGUACCAGUUGUUCUGCCAAGGGCAUCGCUGGGUAGCUAUGUGCGGACGGGAUAAGUGCUGAAAGCAUCUAAGCAUGAAGCCCCCCUCAAGAUGAGAUUUCCCAUUCCGCAAGGAAGUAAGAUCCCUGAAAGAUGAUCAGGUUGAUAGGUCUGAGGUGGAAGUGUGGCGACACAUGGAGCUGACAGAUACUAAUCGAUCGAGGACUUAACCUAAA